RNAcentral lists this ribosomal RNA (253 nucleotides) under uncultured bacterium. RNAcentral's name for it is "partial 16S ribosomal RNA". It matches the Rfam family "Bacterial small subunit ribosomal RNA", at positions 524 to 776 of the family's 1533-position model. The record is from RNAcentral.
UACGUAGGGUGCGAGCGUUGUCCGGAAUUAUUGGGCGUAAAGGGCUCGUAGGCGGUCUGUCGCGUCGGGAGUGAAAACUCAGGGCUUAACCCUGAGCCUGCUUCCGAUACGGGCAGACUAGAGGUAUGCAGGGGAGAACGGAAUUCCUGGUGUAGCGGUGAAAUGCGCAGAUAUCAGGAGGAACGCCGGUGGCGAAGGCGGUUCUCUGGGCCGAUACUGACGCUGAGGAGCGAAGGCGUGGGGAGCGAACAGG